RNAcentral lists this ribosomal RNA (458 nucleotides) under uncultured bacterium. RNAcentral's name for it is "partial 16S ribosomal RNA". It matches the Rfam family "Bacterial small subunit ribosomal RNA", at positions 29 to 507 of the family's 1533-position model. The record is from RNAcentral.
AACGAACGCUGGCGGCAUGCCUAACACAUGCAAGUCGAACGAUACCUUCGGGUCUAGUGGCGCACGGUUGCGUAACGCGUGGGAACCUGCCCUUAGGUUCGGAAUAACUCCCCGAAAGGGGUGCUAAUACCGGAUAAUGUCUUCGGACCAAAGAUUUAUCGCCUUUGGAUGGGCCGGCGUUAGAUUAGCUAGUUGGUAGGGUAACAGCCUACCAAGGCGCGGAUCGAUAGCUGGUCUGAGAGGAUGAUCAGCCACACUGGGACUGAGACACGGCCCAGACAGCUGCGGGAGGCAGCAGGGGGGAAUGUUGGACAAUGGGCGGAAGCCUGAUACAGCCAUGCCGCUUGGAGGAUGAAGGCUUUCGGGUUGUAAACUGCUUUUGUACGGAACGAAAAGACUUCUCUUAAUACCGGAGGGUCAUGACGGUACCGUAAGAAUAAGAACCGGCUAACUACGUG